Solanum pennellii is the source of this 289-nucleotide long non-coding RNA. RefSeq lists it as uncharacterized. Lineage: Eukaryota; Viridiplantae; Streptophyta; Magnoliopsida; Solanales; Solanaceae. The record is from RefSeq and is a predicted model, not a curated record. The transcript is spliced from 4 exons.
AACUGGAGAAGGAUGAAGCAUUAGACGCGAAGUAAUCAUUACAAACGAAAGGUAUGAUCGAAAAGUCAUGACUUUAUGGGGAGACUUUGCUGAAAUUGAAGGUCAAAUGUUACAAAGCCUUGAAAGUCACAAACCAGUUCUUGCCUUUUGUGAUGUAAAAUCAUCAAUUUAUCAAGGGGAUUUUGUCCUUUCCACAACUCCUGUUAGUAGUUUGCUUAUAAAUCCACAAUUUGAAAAAGCGAACAAUCUCCAAAAAUGGAAUGACAACAUGAAGGCAGAAAAGAUUGAC